RNAcentral lists this ribosomal RNA (497 nucleotides) under uncultured bacterium. RNAcentral's name for it is "partial 16S ribosomal RNA". It matches the Rfam family "Bacterial small subunit ribosomal RNA", at positions 28 to 507 of the family's 1533-position model. The record is from RNAcentral.
GGCGAACGCUGGCGGCGUGCCUAAUACAUGCGAGUUGAGCGAUGAAGAUUGGUGCUUGCCCCAAUUUGAAGAGCAGCGAACGGGUGAGUAACGCGUGGGGAAUCUGCCUUUGAGCGGGGGACAACAUUUGGAAACGAAUGCUAAUACCGCAUAACAACUUUAAACAUAAGUUUUAAGUUUGAAAGAUGCAAUUGCAUCACUCAAAGAUGAUCCCGCGUUGUAUUAGCUAGUUGGUGAGGUAAAGGCUCACCAAGGCGAUGAUACAUAGCCGACCUGAGAGGGUGAUCGGCCACAUUGGGACUGAGACACGGCCCAAACUCCUACGGGAGGCAGCAGUAGGGAAUCUUCGGCAAUGGACGAAAGUCUGACCGAGCAACGCCGCGUGAGUGAAGAAGGGUUUCGGAUCGUAAAACUCUGUUGGUAGAGAAGAACGUUGGUGAGAGUGGAAAGCUCAUCAAGUGACGGUAACUACCCAGAAAGGGACGGCUAACUACGUG